Molecule: ribosomal RNA, 184 nt
Filed under: Vibrio cholerae
Lineage: Bacteria; Pseudomonadati; Pseudomonadota; Gammaproteobacteria; Vibrionales; Vibrionaceae
Description: partial 16S ribosomal RNA
Rfam family: Bacterial small subunit ribosomal RNA
Source: RNAcentral
UUAAUUGAAGAGUUUGAUCAUGGCUCAGAUUGAACGCUGGCGGCAGGCCUAACACAUGCAAGUCGAGCGGCAGCACAGAGGAACUUGUUCCUUGGGUGGCGAGCGGCGGACGGGUGAGUAAUGCCUGGGAAAUUGCCCGGUAGAGGGGGAUAACCAUUGGAAACGAUGGCUAAUACCGCAUAAC